GUUGUAUGUAUAUUUACGAUAUGAAUAUACUGAUAUGUUUAUGCAUGUAUGCAUACAAUUGCUUACUCUCAGUUAUAUACAAUAAUUAAUGUACAUAUAUAUUGAUAUGCGCACGCACAUGCACCCUUACACGUUGAUAAGUGCAUAUAAAUUGUAUAGGUCCACACUAAAACAUGCAAUCUAUAUAUACUGAUAUAUAUGACCAUAAAGACACUUAUUAGCAGUUUAUAUAAAUAUAUACAGUGUGUAAUAUCUAAGAUAUGUAUAUACUGAUAUGUUUAUGUGUCUAUGUAUAUACCUGCUAUCUGUUAUAUAUACAUUGAUAUGCACAUGCAUAUGCACCCUUAUGCAUUGGUAGUGCAUAAUACAUUUCAAUAUACACUAAAUGAUAUAUACGAUCAUAUAAGCACCUAUUAUCAGUUUAUACAGUUAUUAGCGUAUAUCUACACUACUGACAUGUAGGCACACUGAUAUGCACAUGUAUAUAUGUACAUUAAUGUAUAAGACCAUAUAAUAUACUUAUUAUCAGUGGUAUAUAUAGUUAUUAGGACUAUUUGUAUAUGUAUUGAUUUAUAAAAACAUAUACUAUUGUUUUCAGUGAAUAUUUAUAUAUAUAUAUAAAUUCUGAUGCAUAUAACCAUACAAUACUUUAGUUAUCAGCUAUAUAUACACUUGUUAAUGUGUAAAAAAUACAUUGAUACGUGUGUGUGCGAUGUUUGUAUACAUAUAUAAAGUGUAUAUACUGAAAUAAGUAUAUGUAUAAAGUGCAUAACUGUAUAAAUAUAGAGCAAAUUACAUACAUUCAUAUACACAUUCAUGUAUAUGACCAUACAUACACUUAUUAUCAGCUUAUACACACACAUAACAUAUAUAUAUAUUACACAUAAAUGUGUGUUAUUAAUAUAUAUAUGCACAGGAUAUACGCAUACAGAUGCACCCUCAGGCAUUGUUAAGUGCAUAUAUAUUGUGCAUGUAGUAUACCAAUGCAUACAUUCUAUAUACACUAAUAUAUAUGACCAUAUAGAUACUUAUUAGCAGUAUAUAUAUAUAGUGUGUAUAUAUAUAGGACAUGUAUGUACUGAUAUGUUUGUAUGUGUAUAUAUACA
Molecule: long non-coding RNA, 1106 nt
Filed under: Amborella trichopoda
Lineage: Eukaryota; Viridiplantae; Streptophyta; Magnoliopsida; Amborellales; Amborellaceae
Description: long non-coding RNA (ATRI_LNC003392)
Source: RNAcentral